AGAGCCAUGGUUUGGUGGUAGAGCAUCUGUUUGGCAUGCAGAAGGUCUCAGGUUCAAGCCCUGGCAUCUCUA
Molecule: transfer RNA, 72 nt
Filed under: Podarcis lilfordi (Lilford's wall lizard)
Lineage: Eukaryota; Metazoa; Chordata; Lepidosauria; Squamata; Lacertidae
Rfam family: tRNA
About the family: Transfer RNA (tRNA) molecules are approximately 80 nucleotides in length. Their secondary structure includes four short double-helical elements and three loops (D, anti-codon, and T loops).
Source: Rfam by way of RNAcentral